GUGGGGAAUUUUGGACAAUGGGCGCAAGCCUGAUCCAGCAAUGCCGCGUGCAGGAAGAAGGCCUUCGGGUUGUAAACUGCUUUUGUACGGAACGAAACGGUCCUGGUUAAUACCUGGGGCUAAUGACGGUACCGUAAGAAUAAGCACCGGCUAACUACGUGCCAGCAGCCGCGGUAAUACGUAGGGUGCGAGCGUUAAUCGGAAUUACUGGGCGUAAAGCGUGCGCAGGCGGUGCUGUAAGACAGGCGUGAAAUCCCCGGGCUCAACCUGGGAAUUGCGCUUGUGACUGCAGUGCUGGAGUACGGCAGAGGGGGAUGGAAUUCCGCGUGUAGCAGUGAAAUGCGUAGAUAUGCGGAGGAACACCGAUGGCGAAGGCAAUCCCCUGGGCCUGCACUGACGCUCAUGCACGAAAGCGUGGGGAGCAAACAGGAUUAGAAACCCUGGUAGUCC
RNAcentral lists this ribosomal RNA (450 nucleotides) under uncultured bacterium. RNAcentral describes it as "partial 16S ribosomal RNA". It matches the Rfam family "Bacterial small subunit ribosomal RNA", at positions 354 to 796 of the family's 1533-position model. The record is from RNAcentral.